GUGGCUGUAGCUCAAUGGUAGAGCCGCGGGUCGUGGUCCCGCAGACGCCGGGUCAGUACCGGCCAGUCACCCCA
This 74-nucleotide transfer RNA is filed under the name Micromonospora parathelypteridis. Its description in RNAcentral is "tRNA-His". It matches the Rfam family "tRNA". Rfam says of the family: Transfer RNA (tRNA) molecules are approximately 80 nucleotides in length. Their secondary structure includes four short double-helical elements and three loops (D, anti-codon, and T loops). The record is from RNAcentral. Lineage: Bacteria; Bacillati; Actinomycetota; Actinomycetes; Micromonosporales; Micromonosporaceae.